AACGAACGCUGGCGGCAUGCCUAACACAUGCAAGUCGAACGAGACCUUCGGGUCUAGUGGCGCACGGGUGCGUAACGCGUGGGAACCUGCCUUUAGGUUCGGAAUAACUCAGAGAAAUUUGAGCUAAUACCGGAUGAUGUCUUCGGACCAAAGAUUUAUCGCCUUUAGAUGGGCCCGCGUAAGAUUAGCUAGUUGGUGGGGUAAAGCCUACCAAGGCGACGAUCUUUAGCUGGUCUGAGAGGAUGAUCAGCCACACUGGGACUGAGACACGGCCCAGACUCCUACGGAGGCAGCAGUGGGGAAUAUUGGGACAAUGGGGCGAAAAGCCUGAUCCAGCAAUGCCGCGUGAGUGAU
This 354-nucleotide ribosomal RNA is filed under the name uncultured bacterium. Its description in RNAcentral is "bacterial SSU rRNA". It matches the Rfam family "Bacterial small subunit ribosomal RNA", at positions 29 to 409 of the family's 1533-position model. The record is from RNAcentral.